CACGGAGUUAGCCGGUGCUUAUUCAUCGGGUACCGUCAACGGCGUUAGAAAACACCGGUUUCUUCCCCAAUAAAAGAAGUUUACAACCCAGAGGGCCUUCAUCCUCCACGCGGCAUGGCUGGUUCAGACUUGCGUCCAUUGACCAAUAUUCCUUACUGCUGCCUCCCGUAGGAGUCGGGCCCGUGUCUCAGUGCCCGUGUGACUGGUCGUGCUCUCACACCAGUUACUGAUCGUCGGCUUGGUGGGCCAUUACCCCGCCAACUACCUAAUCAGCCGCACGCCCAUCUUUAAGUGCCGGAGCUUUAACAGCUGUGUGAUGCCACACCACUGUCUUAUGGGGUAUUAAUCCAAGUUUCCCUGGGCUAUUCCCCGCUUAAAGGAAGGUUGCGUACGUGUUCCGCACCCGUUUGCCGGUCGCCACCCAGUAUUGCUACCUGUGCUGCCCCACGACUUGCAUGUAUUAAGCCUGCCGCUAGCGUUCAUCCUGAGCCAGGAUCAAACUCU
This 504-nucleotide ribosomal RNA is filed under the name uncultured Chitinophagaceae bacterium. RNAcentral's name for it is "partial 16S ribosomal RNA". The record is from RNAcentral. Lineage: Bacteria; Pseudomonadati; Bacteroidota; Chitinophagia; Chitinophagales; Chitinophagaceae.